CCAGUAGCGGCGAGCGAACGGGGAGGAGCCCAGAGCCUGAAUCAGUGUGUGUGUUAGUGGAAGCGUCUGGAAAGGCGCGCGAUACAGGGUGACAGCCCCGUACACAAAAAUGCACAUAUUGUGAGCUCGAUGAGUAGGGCGGGACACGUGGUAUCCUGUCUGAAUAUGGGGGGACCAUCCUCCAAGGCUAAAUACUCCUGACUGACCGAUAGUGAACCAGUACCGUGAGGGAAAGGCGAAAAGAACCCCGGCGAGGGGAGUGAAAAAGAACCUGAAACCGUGUACGUACAAGCAGUGGGAGCCUCUUAAUGGGGUGACUGCGUACCUUUUGUAUAAUGGGUCAGCGACUUAUAUUCUGUAGCAAGGUUAACCGAAUAGGGGAGCCGAAGGGAAACCGAGUCUUAACUGGGCGUUAAGUUGCAGGGUAUAGACCCGAAACCCGGUGAUCUAGCCAUGGGCAGGUUGAAGGUUGGGUAACACUAACUGGAGGACCGAACCGACUAAUGUUGAAAAAUUAGCGGAUGACUUGUGGCUGGGGGUGAAAGGCCAAUCAAACCGGGAGAUAGCUGGUUCUCCCCGAAAGCUAUUUAGGUAGCGCCUCGUGAAUUCAUCUCCGGGGGUAGAGCACUGUUUCGGCAAGGGGGUCAUCCCGACUUACCAACCCGAUGCAAACUGCGAAUACCGGAGAAUGUUAUCACGGGAGACACACGGCGGGUGCUAACGUCCGUCGUGAAGAGGGAAACAACCCAGACCGCCAGCUAAGGUCCCAAAGUCAUGGUUAAGUGGGAAACGAUGUGGGAAGGCCCAGACAGCCAGGAUGUUGGCUUAGAAGCAGCCAUCAUUUAAAGAAAGCGUAAUAGCUCACUGGUCGAGUCGGCCUGCGCGGAAGAUGUAACGGGGCUAAACCAUGCACCGAAGCUGCGGCAGCGACACUAUGUGUUGUUGGGUAGGGGAGCGUUCUGUAAGCCUGUGAAGGUGGCCUGUGAGGGUUGCUGGAGGUAUCAGAAGUGCGAAUGCUGACAUAAGUAACGAUAAAGCGGGUGAAAAGCCCGCUCGCCGGAAGACCAAGGGUUCCUGUCCAACGUUAAUCGGGGCAGGGUGAGUCGACCCCUAAGGCGAGGCCGAAAGGCGUAGUCGAUGGGAAACAGGUUAAUAUUCCUGUACUUGGUGUUACUGCGAAGGGGGGACGGAGAAGGCUAUGUUGGCCGGGCGACGGUUGUCCCGGUUUAAGCGUGUAGGCUGGUUUUCCAGGCAAAUCCGGAAAAUCAAGGCUGAGGCGUGAUGACGAGGCACUACGGUGCUGAAGCGACAAAUGCCCUGCUUCCAGGAAAAGCCUCUAAGCAUCAGGUAACAUCAAAUCGUACCCCAAACCGACACAGGUGGUCAGGUAGAGAAUACCAAGGCGCUUGAGAGAACUCGGGUGAAGGAACUAGGCAAAAUGGUGCCGUAACUUCGGGAGAAGGCACGCUGAUAUGUAGGUGAAGCGACUUGCUCGUGGAGCUGAAAUCAGUCGAAGAUACCAGCUGGCUGCAACUGUUUAUUAAAAACACAGCACUGUGCAAACACGAAAGUGGACGUAUACGGUGUGACGCCUGCCCGGUGCCGGAAGGUUAAUUGAUGGGGUUAGCGGUAACGCGAAGCUCUUGAUCGAAGCCCCGGUAAACGGCGGCCGUAACUAUAACGGUCCUAAGGUAGCGAAAUUCCUUGUCGGGUAAGUUCCGACCUGCACGAAUGGCGUAAUGAUGGCCAGGCUGUCUCCACCCGAGACUCAGUGAAAUUGAACUCGCUGUGAAGAUGCAGUGUACCCGCGGCAAGACGGAAAGACCCCGUGAACCUUUACUAUAGCUUGACACUGAACAUUGAGCCUUGAUGUGUAGGAUAGGUGGGAGGCUUUGAAGUGUGGACGCCAGUCUGCAUGGAGCCGACCUUGAAAUACCACCCUUUAAUGUUUGAUGUUCUAACGUGGGCCCCUUACCGGGGUUGCGGACAGUGUCUGGUGGGUAGUUUGACUGGGGCGGUCUCCUCCUAAAGAGUAACGGAGGAGCACGAAGGUUGGCUAAUCCUGGUCGGACAUCAGGAGGUUAGUGCAAUGGCAUAAGCCAGCUUGACUGCGAGCGUGACGGCGCGAGCAGGUGCGAAAGCAGGUCAUAGUGAUCCGGUGGUUCUGAAUGGAAGGGCCAUCGCUCAACGGAUAAAAGGUACUCCGGGGAUAACAGGCUGAUACCGCCCAAGAGUUCAUAUCGACGGCGGUGUUUGGCACCUCGAUGUCGGCUCAUCACAUCCUGGGGCUGAAGUAGGUCCCAAGGGUAUGGCUGUUCGCCAUUUAAAGUGGUACGCGAGCUGGGUUUAGAACGUCGUGAGACAGUUCGGUCCCUAUCUGCCGUGGGCGCUGGAGAACUGAGGGGGGCUGCUCCUAGUACGAGAGGACCGGAGUGGACGCAUCACUGGUGUUCGGGUUGUCAUGCCAAUGGCACUGCCCGGUAGCUAAAUGCGGAAGAGAUAAGUGCUGAAAGCAUCUAAGCACGAAACUUGCCCCGAGAUGAGUUCUCCCUGACUCCUUGAGAGUCCUGAAGGAACGUUGAAGACGACGACGUUGAUAGGCCGGGUGUGUAAGCGCAGCGAUGCGUUGAGCUAACCGGUACUAAUGAACCGUGAGGCUUAACCUU
Molecule: ribosomal RNA, 2666 nt
Filed under: Escherichia coli
Lineage: Bacteria; Pseudomonadati; Pseudomonadota; Gammaproteobacteria; Enterobacterales; Enterobacteriaceae
Description: partial 23S ribosomal RNA
Rfam family: Bacterial large subunit ribosomal RNA
Source: RNAcentral